RNAcentral lists this ribosomal RNA (522 nucleotides) under uncultured bacterium. RNAcentral describes it as "bacterial SSU rRNA". It matches the Rfam family "Bacterial small subunit ribosomal RNA", at positions 8 to 525 of the family's 1533-position model. The record is from RNAcentral.
AGAGUUUGAUCCUGGCUCAGAUUGAACGCUGGCGGCAGGCCUAACACAUGCAAGUCGAACGGCAGCACGGGGGCAACCCUGGUGGCGAGUGGCGAACGGGCGAGUAAUGCAUCGGAACGUGUCCUGUAAUGGGGGAUAACCUAUCGAAAGGUAGGCUAAUACCGCAUACGUCCUGAGGGAGAAAGCAGGGGAUCGCAAGACCUUGCGCUGAUUGAGCGGCCGAUAUCAGAUUAGCUAGUUGGUGAGGUAACGGCCCACCAAGGCAACGAUCUGUAGCGGGUCUGAGAGGAUGAUCCGCCACACUGGGACUGAGACACGGCCCAGACUCCUACGGGAGGCAGCAGUGGGGAAUAUUGCGCAAUGGGGGCAACCCUGACGCAGCCAUGCCGCGUGUGUGAAGAAGGCCUUCGGGUUGUAAAGCACUUUAAGUGGGGAGAAAGGCCCGCUGGUUAAUAGCCAUCGGGAUUGAUGUUACCCACAGAAUAAGCACCGGCUAACUCCGUGCCAGCAGCCGCGGUAAUA